AUGGUGCUCGCAUUCGUAGAGGUGGCGGUGAACUCAGAAAGAACCACCGUGCCACGAGCCACGAGGGCGUACAGAAUCGCCAUCUCCGUCGUCGAUCCCCCUGCCGA
This 107-nucleotide small RNA is filed under the name Arabidopsis thaliana (thale cress). Its description in RNAcentral is "ATSL233760". Lineage: Eukaryota; Viridiplantae; Streptophyta; Magnoliopsida; Brassicales; Brassicaceae. The record is from RNAcentral.